UCACCAUGCAGGCGUCCGUCAUCGGCGCCGGUAUUGGCUCAUGAUCAAAAAAAUUGUCUCAAUCGAAGCACAAAGCCAAGCUGAUCAUGAAUCUGGAAAUGAAAUGGGAAAACACUCCUUGUGUUGGUCGAAUCGCACAUCUAAAGGGAGGAACCCUAGCCGAUUGCAAGCUAAAUUAAAUAGUGUAUGGCGCCAAUCAAUCCCUACAACCAUGGGGUUUCUACUCCCUACUUCAGAUACUACAACUAGGUGAUCUCAAAGCAAGGAAAAUACCACUGAAAUGAAAAUGACAUAUCGGAGAAGAUGAUCGGAAGGUUCGUCGGUUAUUACUUAAAUGGAUAUGAACUCCAAGGGCUUUAGUAAUGACUCGUUGAACAUGUUGCACUUAAGUGGUAUUGGUUCAUUGGCUUAAAUGAUGACUGGUUGGACCUGUUAUGUGGUGUUAGUGCUGUUAUGCCAUUGAACUUUGCAUCGUGUUACUCUAUCACUGAAACCUGUCUUGAACUGUUAUCCAUGUCACAUGUAUGGGUUGUUGAAAAAUCUAUUGGAUGGCUUUAAUUAUGGUGAUUUGCUAGGUCUUGGAUUUUGUUGUGCAAAAUGUUGUACAAUUUGAAAUGGAUAUGUGAAGGUUUGACAUGCUUAGCUUGAGUCUAAAACAGAUUUUGGAGGGUUUGGCUUGAUGCAAGUUGGUACACUCAUGGUGUUUGCAAGGUAACCUCAUGGUCUUGUUGUUGUAGAGCUGCUAAGUUAACUCAAUGCUUCCAAGUGCCUUUGUUUCAGGUUUGAGGGCAUGUGCAAGGGGCUAUGGCGCUGCAUAGUUGCAUUGGCAUGGUUUGUACAAAUCCAUAGGAUAUUUUGACUUGUCCUUGGUUCUACAAGUACAGCUUACCCUCACUGCUUCCAUUCUGGCCUUGACAUGGUUCUUGGUUGCAAUGUUGGUUCUGUUAUUCACUGCAGGCUUUGAGCAUAAUCAUUGAACCACACUCAUGGUACAACUUGGUCAUGGCAUAUUAACUUGUUAAUUCAUGUUAGUAAUGAAUUGUUAGUACAAUCCCUAUGAUAACUUGAUGCUUGGUGUUAGAUGACUGGCAGGAUAUUGUAGUCAUGGUUGUUACACCAUUGGACUUAAACUGCAGGUAGCUUGGAAGUGGAUGAAUUCUGCAAUCAAAGCCAGUGUUAUAGGUGACUGCUGAUGAUAAUACCCUUGAUCGCUUAUGAACCUGGUUGUUGUGGCUUUAUGAUAGCUGCCAGACAGGCUAUGAUGGUGUUGUUGCAUUAUGGCAUGUGUGAUGUCCAGUCAAAUUAAGUUAGGAUGCUGGUGUGCUUGGAGCAGGUUUGUUACAGGUUCAUAAAUUGCGUUAGGUCAGCAACCAGUUCCUUAUUACAAGUUAACUUGGUGUUGAUUUGUGGUGAAUGGUUGUAUGCAGUUUGGAAGCACUUGUCUGCUGCAAUUUAUCGUGCUCAUGAUAUGUUGUAGUAGGUAGCCUUGUAAGUUGCUAACUUGUGUUGAAACCUCAUUUUAUGCAUAUGGUGUAUGCUUGGUCCUAUUUAUGAUGGUUGAUGUUGGAUGAACAAGGAUGCUGGUUGCAGCCUGUUGUAAUUUCACAAGCAGGUCUGCUAGGAUGUAGGUGCAUGAGAUGUUUGAAUAUGCCAUAUUGUGAUUUGUUUUGGCCAUGUUAGUACAGUUAUUUGCAAUGCAUUCUGCAGGUCUGGGUUGGUUGACUGGUUUGGCAUGUUUCUGCUUGCAAGUUUAUGACAAGGCCCAAGUUUAUCAUGUAGUGAAUGUAUGCUCUCCAUUGUAGAUUUCCAUGUUGCCCUUGAGUUAAGCGAUGAAGGAUGGAUCACAUUGUGUUAGGUUGUGCUGUGUUAAAGCCAUUAGGAUUUGGUUUGGGGCAGACCAAGACCAAGAUUUGACAAGCUAAAAUAUGAGGUUGAAUCAUGAAACCACUUACUUGGAAAUGAAGCAACCAAGGGAGAACACAACCAAACAUGGAAAUUGGAUCAAGAAUCACGUACAAAGGCUAGAUUAGGUUUUGGAUGACCAAAAGAAUGGGGAGGUUGACUUUGGUCAAAGUUGACCAAAAAGUCAAUUGUUGACCAAAGUCAACAAAAGGUCAAAAAUUCAAAUUUCUUUGUAUUUUCUUUGUAAACAGACAAUGUAUUAGUGAACAUGAUGGA
Molecule: long non-coding RNA, 2178 nt
Organism: Lathyrus oleraceus (garden pea)
Lineage: Eukaryota; Viridiplantae; Streptophyta; Magnoliopsida; Fabales; Fabaceae
Exons: 4
Source: RefSeq, a predicted model, not a curated record